This 253-nucleotide ribosomal RNA is filed under the name uncultured bacterium. RNAcentral describes it as "partial 16S ribosomal RNA". It matches the Rfam family "Bacterial small subunit ribosomal RNA", at positions 524 to 776 of the family's 1533-position model. The record is from RNAcentral.
UACGAAGGACCCAAGCGUUAUCCGGAUUUAUUGGGUUUAAAGGGUGCGUAGGCGGAUUAUUAAGUCAGUGGUGAAAGCCUGCAGCUUAACUGCAGAAUUGCCAUUGAUACUGAUGAUCUUGAGUAUGAUUGAGGUGGGCGGAAUGUGUCAUGUAGCGGUGAAAUGCUUAGAUAUGACACAGAACACCGAUUGCGAAGGCAGCUCACUAAGCCAUAACUGACGCUGAGGCGCGAAAGCGUGGGGAGCAAACAGG